CGUCUGCCAUCUUGGGCAUGGCUGUUAGGCCCCCUAGCUUCAGCCGCCAUGUCUUCGUCAGGGCCUUGGGGUGAGGACCGGGAUCACCCCCACCGGUCUAGAGGGGGGGGGACAGGGCCUUGUCCACACUCGUUUGGGCCCAUGGCUGGGUUCUGUUAGGCAGGAUAGUGGGGCAGCGGCCGUCUGCCCCUCUCACCGCCGGAGUAGGCCUCGAUUGUGGCAUCGGUGCCCUCUCCUCCAGGGGACUGCAGCUCGAUAAGCCAGCCUCACCCUGGAUCCAGUGUCCCUUUAGCUCUGUGGACCGCCGCUGGUGGUUGGUUCUGGUGCUGGAAAUCAUAGUUUCAAAGCCUAGAGUUUGAUGGCUUGCAGGAGCUCAGCAUGCAUGCUGCCAUCCAGCUCGGCGGUCGGGCCCCGCCCCCA
This is a non-coding RNA of Pelobates cultripes (western spadefoot toad), 420 nucleotides long. The record is from the annotation of a GenBank genome assembly. Lineage: Eukaryota; Metazoa; Chordata; Amphibia; Anura; Pelobatidae.